GAUGAACGCUGGCGGCGUACCUAAUACAUGCAAGUCGAACGCUUUGUGGUUCAACUGAUUUGAAGAGCUUGCUCAGAUAUGACGAUGGACAUUGCAAAGAGUGGCGAACGGGUGAGUAACACGUGGGAAACCUACCUCUUAGCAGGGGAUAACAUUUGGAAACAGAUGCUAAUACCGUAUAACAAUGACAACCGCAUGGUUGUUAUUUAAAAGAUGGUUCUGCUAUCACUAAGAGAUGGUCCCGCGGUGCAUUAGCUAGUUGGUAAGGUAAUGGCUUACCAAGGCGAUGAUGCAUAGCCGAGUUGAGAGACUGAUCGGCCACAAUGGGACUGAGACACGGCCCAUACUCCUACGGGAGGCAGCAGUAGGGAAUCUUCCACAAUGGGCGAAAGCCUGACGGAGCAACGCCGCGUGUGUGAUGAAGGGUUUCGGCUCGUAAAACACUGUUGUAAAAGAAGAAUGACAUUGAGAGUAACUGUUCAAUGUGUGACGGUAUCUUACCAGAAAGGAACGGCUAAAUACGUGCCAGCAGCCGCGGUAAUACGUAUGUUCCAAGCGUUAUCCGGAUUUAUUGGGCGUAAAGCGAGCGCAGACGGUUAUUUAAGUCUGAAGUGAAAGCCCUCAGCUCAACUGAGGAAUUGCUUUGGAAACUGGAUGACUUGAGUGCAGUAGAGGAAAGUGGAACUCCAUGUGUAGCGGUGAAAUGCGUAGAUAUAUGGAAGAACACCAGUGGCGAAGGCGGCUUUCUGGACUGUAACUGACGUUGAGGCUCGAAAGUGUGGGUAGCAAACAGGAUUAGAUACCCUGGUAGUCCACACCGUAAACGAUGAGUGCUAGGUGUUUGAGGGUUUCCGCCCUUAAGUGCCGCAGCUAACGCAUUAAGCACUCCGCCUGGGGAGUACGACCGCAAGGUUGAAACUCAAAGGAAUUGACGGGGACCCGCACAAGCGGUGGAGCAUGUGGUUUAAUUCGAAGCAACGCGAAGAACCUUACCAGGUCUUGACAUCCCUUGACAACUCCAGAGAUGGAGUGUUCCCUUCGGGGACAAGGUGACAGGUGGUGCAUGGUUGUCGUCAGCUCGUGUCGUGAGAUGUUGGGUUAAGUCCCGCAACGAGCGCAACCCUUAUUACUAGUUGCCAGCAUUCAGUUGGGCACUCUAGUGAGACUGCCGGUGACAAACCGGAGGAAGGUGGGGAUGACGUCAAAUCAUCAUGCCCCUUAUGACCUGGGCUACACACGUGCUACAAUGGCGUAUACAACGAGUUGCCAACCCGCGAGGGUGAGCUAAUCUCUUAAAGUACGUCUCAGUUCGGAUUGUAGGCUGCAAACUCGCCUACAUGAAAGUCGGAAUCGCUAGUAAUCGCGGAUCAGCACGCCGCGGUGAAUACGUUCCCGGG
Molecule: ribosomal RNA, 1397 nt
Filed under: uncultured bacterium
Lineage: Bacteria
Description: 16S ribosomal RNA
Rfam family: Bacterial small subunit ribosomal RNA
Source: RNAcentral